Brassica oleracea var. oleracea is the source of this 115-nucleotide long non-coding RNA. RefSeq lists it as uncharacterized. NCBI's taxonomy places the organism in Eukaryota, Viridiplantae, Streptophyta, Magnoliopsida, Brassicales, Brassicaceae. The record is from RefSeq and is a predicted model, not a curated record. The transcript is spliced from 2 exons.
CUAGAGAUUACUGCCUUCAGUGACCGGUAUGCAGAAUUUGAGAAGUUGAACACAGAAGUGUUAGGUGUCUCUGUUGAUAGUGUGUUCUCCCAUCUUGCUUGGAUUCAAACAGACA